AUGGCUGAGGACACCGAGUCUUCCUCACAUGAAGAAUCGGCUCGUCCAAGAAACCAGCUUCGUGUUGACGCACCUGAAUUUAUCCCCACCAUGGGCUAUAAUCCCAUUGGACCAUGCCUAGUGGGUGAGCCAAGCAAUAGACGCUCGCUCCAGUGGCAAGGGGUGUUUGUCACUUCAGAUGACUUCCAAGCUGGUCAUGUGGAUCCAACUGCUACAAUAUCGGAUCCUUUGUCCUCAUCGGUGCCAGCACCAAGACCAUCAUUUGAGGGCUCAGUUGAUCCAGCACGAUGCUCUAUCUCUGCUGAUAAUGUUGGUGGCGCCAUCAUGCGGCAUGUAGAAACUCUAUCGAAGUGGCCAGAAUAUGAAGAAUUUGUGAAGGCAGAUCCACGACGACGAGAGUAUGUGAAGCAGGCUGCUCAUGCACGCAAAAAGCGGGCUGCCCUGAAACAAAGAGAGAGGGCAGUACGAGCCGAUUUGGGGUAUAGCGGAAUACAAGGAAGAGAUUCUCCAUCAACAAGCCAAGUCAGUGGAGGAAAUGGGGCAAAAGAAAUGGCAAGUACAGAAAGGAAGACUACUAGAGCUCUCGCCCCAUGGCCAACUCGCAAGAAAGUCUCAGAGCAUACAGAGCAAGUCCUAGCUACAAAUGAAACUCGUUCGGUUGAGGAGCAAUUAGCCAACCUUACGGCAGCACUCCAGCAAAAGGAAGAUGAGCUAGCAGCCCUUCGUAUUCAUAUGGGCAAUAACCAGAACAAAGGAAUUGAAGGGGAUGGUGGUGCAAGUGCUAGCAGCCAACAUGGAGGAGCAGGGCUUAACCUUGAGGCGAUCCAGAGGAUGAUCGCUGAGGGGGUAAAGUCCCAGUUGAUGCAAACUCAGUACUCGAUGCGGCCAGGGUAUGUUAAGCCAUACCCACCCGAUGUGGACCUAGUUCCUUUCCCAACAAAUUACAGACAGCCGCCGUUUAGUAAGUUCAAUGGGAGUGGAUCUCCCCAUGAGCAUAUAGCACACUUCCUUGCUGCUUGCCAAGAUACAGCCAACAAUGGAGUACUUCUCCUUAGGCAGUUUGUACAGACAUUGUCUGGGCCUGCCUUCACCUGGUACAGCAAGCUACCUCCAAGCUCUGUAAAAACGUGGGAACAAAUGCAAAACUCAUUCCUCGAGAGGUUCUAUAGCAUGCAGAGGACGGUGGGCAUAACUGAGUUGACUCAAACUGAACAAGGGUUCAACGAGAAGGCGGCUGACUUCAUAAAUAGAUGGAGAAACCUAAGUCUUCACUGCCCACAGCCCAUCACCGAGCCAGAAGCAGUGCGGAUGUGCAUGAACAAUCUCCGCUCGGAAGUGGCUGUCCAGUUACAAGGCGUGAGGCCCCUCACAUUUGAAGAGUUAGCUUCAAAUCCAUGGAUAUAG
This 1404-nucleotide ribosomal RNA is filed under the name Triticum aestivum (bread wheat). RNAcentral describes it as "partial small subunit ribosomal RNA". The record is from RNAcentral. Lineage: Eukaryota; Viridiplantae; Streptophyta; Magnoliopsida; Poales; Poaceae.